RNAcentral lists this ribosomal RNA (448 nucleotides) under uncultured bacterium. RNAcentral's name for it is "bacterial SSU rRNA". It matches the Rfam family "Bacterial small subunit ribosomal RNA", at positions 29 to 523 of the family's 1533-position model. The record is from RNAcentral.
AACGAACGCUGGCGGCAGGCCUAACACAUGCAAGUCGAACGAACUCUUCGGAGUGAGUGGCGGACGGGUGAGUAACGCGUGAGAAUCUGCCUGUGGGUCGGGGACAACCACUGGAAACGGUGGCUAAUACCGGAUGAGCCGAAAGGUAAAAUUUAUUGCCACAGAUGAGCUCGCGUCUGAUUAGCUAGUUGGUAAGGUAAAAGCGUACCAAGGCGACGAUCAGUAGCUGGUCUGAGAGGAUGAGCAGCCACACUGGGACUGAGACACGGCCCAGACUCCUACGGGAGGCAGCAGUGGGGAAUUUUCCGCAAUGGGCGAAAGCCUGACGGAGCAAGACCGCGUGGGGGAGGAAGGUUUUUUGGAUCGUAAACCCCUUUUGUCAAGGAAGAAGCUCUGACGGUACUUGACGAAUAAGCCUCGGCUAACUCCGUGCCAGCAGCCGCGGUAA